Molecule: ribosomal RNA, 497 nt
Filed under: uncultured bacterium
Lineage: Bacteria
Description: partial 16S ribosomal RNA
Rfam family: Bacterial small subunit ribosomal RNA
Source: RNAcentral
GAUGAACGCUGGCGGCGUGCCUAAUACAUGCAAGUCGAGCGAACAGACGAGGAGCUUGCUCCUCUGACGUUAGCGGCGGACGGGUGAGUAACACGUGGAUAACCUACCUAUCAGACUGGGAUAACUUCGGGAAACCGGAGCUAAUACCGGAUAAUAUAUUGAACCGCAUGGUUCAAUAGUUAAAGACGGUUUUGCUGUCACUUAUAGAUGGCUCCGCGCCGCAUUAGCUAGUUGGUAAGGUAACGGCUUACCAAGGCAACGAUGCGUAGCCGACCUGAGAGGGUGAUCGGCCACACUGGAACUGAGACACGGUCCAGACUCCUACGGGAGGCAGCAGUAGGGAAUCUUCCGCAAUGGGCGAAAGCUUGACGGAGCAACGCCGCGUGAGUGAUGAAGGUCUUCGGAUCGUAAAACUCUGUUAUUAGGGAAGAACAAAUGUGUAAGUAACUAUGCACGUCUUGACGGUACCUAAUCAGAAUGCCACGGCUAACUACGUG